This 443-nucleotide ribosomal RNA is filed under the name uncultured bacterium. RNAcentral's name for it is "bacterial SSU rRNA". It matches the Rfam family "Bacterial small subunit ribosomal RNA", at positions 36 to 526 of the family's 1533-position model. The record is from RNAcentral.
CUGGCGGCAGCCUAACAAUGCAAGUCGAACGAAGUAGCAAUACUUAGUGGCAGACGGGUGAGUAACAUGUGGGUAUCUGCCCUUUGGCCUGGAAUAACACGAGGAAACUUGUGCUAAUACCGGAUAAGUCUUUACGGAGAAAGCUUUAUGCACCAUUGGAUGAGCCCGCACUUGAUUAGUUUGUUGGUGGGGUAAUGGCCUACCAAGACUUUGAUCAAUAGCUGAUUUGAGAGGAUGAUCAGCCACAUUGGGACUGAGACACGGCCCAAACUCCUACGGGAGGCAGCAGUGGGGAAUCUUGCACAAUGGAGGAAACUCUGAUGCAGCGAUGCCGCGUGAGUGAAGAAGGCCUUUGGGUUGUAAAGCUCUUUCGUCGGGGAAGAAAAUGACUGUACCCGAAUAAGAAGGUCCGGCUAACUUCGUGCCAGCAGCCGCGGUAAUAC